This 73-nucleotide transfer RNA is filed under the name Thermoplasmata archaeon. RNAcentral describes it as "tRNA-Val". It matches the Rfam family "tRNA". From Rfam's summary of the family: Transfer RNA (tRNA) molecules are approximately 80 nucleotides in length. Their secondary structure includes four short double-helical elements and three loops (D, anti-codon, and T loops). RNAcentral also lists the same sequence under 2 other names. The record is from RNAcentral. Lineage: Archaea; Methanobacteriati; Thermoplasmatota; Thermoplasmata.
GGGCUCGUGGUCUAGGGGUUAUGACGUUGCCCUUACGAGGCAAAGGUCGGGAGUUCGAAUCUCCCCGAGCCCA